CCUACGGGGGGCAGUAGUGAGGAAUAUUGGUCAAUGGGCUUACGCCUGAACCAGCCAAGUCGCGUGAGGGAAGACUGCCCUAUGGGUUGUAAACUUCUUUUAUAAAGGAAUAAAACGAGGCACGUGUGCCUUUUUGCAUGUACUUUAUGAAUAAGGAUCGGCUAACUCCGUGCCAGCAGCCGCGGUAAUACGGAGGAUCCGAGCGUUAUCCGGAUUUAUUGGGUUUAAAGGGAGCGUAGAUGGGUUGUUAAGUCAGUUGUGAAAGUUUGCGGCUCAACCGUAAAAUUGCAAUUGAUACUGGCAGUCUUGAGUACAGUUGAGGUAGGCGGAAUUCGUGGUGUAGCGGUGAAAUGCUUAGAUAUCACGAAGAACCCCGAUUGCGAAGGCAGCUUACUAAACUGUGACUGACAUUGAUGCUCGAAAGUGUGGGUAUCAAACAGGAUUAGAUACCCUAGUAGUC
This 460-nucleotide ribosomal RNA is filed under the name uncultured bacterium. RNAcentral describes it as "partial 16S ribosomal RNA". It matches the Rfam family "Bacterial small subunit ribosomal RNA", at positions 338 to 795 of the family's 1533-position model. The record is from RNAcentral.